This 91-nucleotide transfer RNA is filed under the name Melampsora larici-populina 98AG31. RNAcentral describes it as "tRNA-Met for anticodon CAU". It matches the Rfam family "tRNA". Rfam says of the family: Transfer RNA (tRNA) molecules are approximately 80 nucleotides in length. Their secondary structure includes four short double-helical elements and three loops (D, anti-codon, and T loops). The record is from Rfam by way of RNAcentral. Lineage: Eukaryota; Fungi; Basidiomycota; Pucciniomycetes; Pucciniales; Melampsoraceae.
AGCGUGAUGGCGCAGCUGGUAGCGCGCUGGGCUCAUACGGUCACGUGACCGUGAAACCCAGAGGUCGUCGGAUCGAAACUGACUCCCGCUA